AAAGCCCCGUGCAGCACCAUCUUCUCUGCGUAACACCACGGCUGCCUCGCAGCUGCCUUCCGCUAGGAACAGGAACACAGUCCCUUCCACGACACGUUUUUAAGGCAUACCUCCAAAGCAGCAAUUUUUGGAGAAGCGGUUCAAGCGAGAGGUCAGGACGGCAGAGGAGAGCCUGCAGAAGGACAGGUGAGCUGCAGACAGCUGGUACCUAAUCAGUGAAGUGGGCGUGUGCACCUGUGUUUCUCCUAAAAUAAUCCUCCUAACGUGUGGAAAAAAUCUGGGCUUGAUGUGCUUUAGCGCAUGUCCCUCCAGAUGGAACUGAACCUGGCGAGGGAUGUUAAAAACAACAAGAGGGGAUGCUAUAGGUCCAUUGGUCAGAAGAGACAGGCCAACGAGAGCGUACCUCCUCUGCUGAAUGAGAAAGGAGAACUGGCUACAACAGGCAUGGAGGAGGACUUAGGGGUCCUGCUAGACCCCUAAAAAUUCAACGUGAGCCAGCAGCGCGUGCUUGCAGCCUGGAAGGCCACAUUCUUAUGAUUUGAACACAGGUAAAACUUUAACCUCAUUUUCACAGAUUGAAGCCAGAAGAGCCAUUCCGUGGCAGAGUACAAAUUCUGGUCCUCCAGGGGGGCUGAGGCACGUGGCAUGGAACUGCUGAGGCUGAGGUUCUCUGGCCAGCUGCUGCCACACGUUCCCAUCUGUGUCAGGGUGCAUCCCAGAUAAAGUUCAAGGGUUUGGUUCUUCACUGAUGCUGCCAGCUUUGCGUUACUGUGAGCACAGCUAAUGAAGGAGGCCAGUACCAUCUCCCUGGUCUGCUGCAGUCUUACAGGAAGGCAGUAAGAGCAAACUCACAGCGAAUGAGGCAGGAACCUUUACAAGUGCGGUCGAUGCUGCUUUAUGGAUGACAAGGAGCAGCGCAGAAAAUGCUCAGAUACCCUUCUGCCAGCCUUUCCCAGUCACACAAAACACUAGUCCUGCUCCCACCACAGCCUACAGAUGCUCUCUCAGUAGGGCCACACUGGUUUGCAGCUCAGCCUUCCCUACAGAAAGCAGUCAGAAGGCAGAAAUUGCUACACCAGCUUCAGGCACCACUCAUUUCCUGAACGGCAGCAGGCUUCUGUCACCUGUGUCCAUCCUUUCUCUCUGGGGAACUAUUUUUCCUCUCCUCCCAGUUCAGUGGUUGCAGCGCCCUUACAGAAGGCAGCUGCACGGGCAGGGCACUGGAGCAGACCCAGGGAACUCCUCACACAUGCUCCAGGCCAUGGCCACGUCUUCUGAAUCUGUGCCCUCAGAGCCAAACCAAUGCAAACAGGUCCCUCCGGCUGCCCAGGGCACACACAUGAACCACGUGUGUCUCUGGUGUAUGUUGUUCCCUGGGGCUGCUAAUCCAGGAGCUGAGUGGUGUUUGUACAGAAUUCUGACCAAGCAAGAGUCACUGAGAAUUAAGUUUAUUACAAAAUGGGUCCUGAGCAAUACUACCUGUGAACUUUACUUUAAAAUCGUUGCAUUUAUCACUUCAACGGGUAUUUCAAAGAAAAAUAAAGUACUUUUCAAGAAAAUUAGCAUAGCCGUUGUAGUAGGAGUGCUUUGCACUUAUAAUUACUCCAGUGGAUUUCUGGAAAGACUUCAGCAUGGCCUGACUCAGGGAUUUCACCCAAAUAGCAUGGAAGCCAACACAAGCAGAGCCAAUUUCAUCAAGCACAACAGCCAUCUGAGGAGCAGAGCCAGCUCAGGCCUCAUGAAAACAACCAUCACACAAUAAGUAGACAACUGUACUGCUAUCUUUACCCAUACUCUACUGGCUUUUCAUUGAGAGCAAAUGAUCAGCAAACAAAAGACAUUAAUUAACGUCUAGUAGCAUAUUCAGAAGCAAUGUUUGUCUCACGAAGAGGCGAGGACUGGGUUCCAAGGGUUGGGGCUCCCCAUUCUAAAACCCACACCCGGAUUUCCUCCAGGUAGAUACUUAUCUACAGAAUCACCCUUACCUCCCUAAAUAGGGAUUAGCAGCCUUUAUCUACCUCCUAGGGGAAGAUUAAUAACGGGAAAACCCAUGACGAGUGCAAAGAUAAAGGCGACCAUUAUCAUUAUUACUACGUUGUUUUCUCCGAGUGCUGUUAGCAGAGAAAUUGUUGUGGUUGAAGGAAGAAGGCAGGAGCAGAGUGCUUCCUCUGUCCAUCGAAACACUGGGGCUGGCUGGGCACAAACCUGCUGCAACACGCUUGCUGAGCAGUGGUUAGGCAGUGCCUUUAGAGCCCCAUGGCAAAGCCCCAGGAAGGUCUGUGGCCGUGUCUUCCUCCUGGAGCCCCAACAGAGCCGAAUGGAAAAGGUGGGAUACCUUGAUGUGUAAACAGCACAAUAGUAAAGGUAUACUGCCAACACAAAAAAUACACCGAGAGUCUGACUGCUGACAAGAUGAGAUAAAAGUAACGAAGGCUGAAAUUACGUGGGUGAAUGGCACGCGGUGUCAGGUUGAAUGGGCCCUAACUGGACAGACCAGCCCAAGCACCUUGGUGGCUGAGGGCUGGAAGUCAGACAGUUGGGCUGCGAGAGGCAGUCUAGACUGAGGAAUGCUCCGGGACACUGAAAUGAGAUUAUUUCAUGCAUUAUACAUUAACACCACAAACCGCUGACUCUUUCCAGGAGAGCAGCGUGUCCCCGCUUUGCUGGAGUUAAAAAUGAAAACAUUAACUUGGAGGUCAAAGGAUGAAAUGUAGCUGAAAAAAACAAAAAACAGCCCUUGCUAGUAGUAUAUAGUCAUGCCAAAGAUGAGUAAGAGGGAUUGGACAGAGAAAGCCUUUGCCAUGAGCCCUGCUUGCUGGGGUCAGAGGAGGGCAGCUCAGUCUCAAUGCUCCCUAGGGCCAGCGAGGAGGAGGAACACGUAAGGCAGUGCCCAGCCGAGGGAAGCAGCUCAGAACUGUGCAAGCUGAUCAGCAGAGGGCUUCCAGCAGCAGCCACUAAGCUGAGCCCCACAUUAUCCUGUGCUGCUAAAUCCCUAUUCACCACCGCACAGCACAGCGAAAGGCGAAUUCUGCUCUCAGAAGAUGAUUUGGGAGACAAACUAUUUCAGUGAUUAACUGCGCUGAUCUAGUCUCCCACUGUGAAAAUCUGCAUCUGUGCUUAAUGCCUCAAAAUACCACUACGAGCAAAGCUUCUGCAUUUACAUACGAUUUACAGAUUAACUUGUCUCAAUGUGACUGUUAAUAAGCUUACUUGAAGAGCUCAAAUGGACUGAGCGGAGGGGAAGCAGGUUCCUACACACGUUGCUGGAACAGCUCCCUGCCUGGUGAUGGGGUAUUUCUUCAGGCAGCAGAGACCUGAAACAUUUCAGCAUCCUCUCCUUGCCUCUUAGUUUGCCCCGUUCUAAUUUUAUCCUUUAUUUCAACUGGCCCACAGCUCAGGUAUCGGUGCCGUUAUUACACCUACACAACUAAAAGAAAUGAGACACUUCCUAAAAAAAAAAAAAAAAAUGAUAGUACAGGAAUUGCUCCAGCUUUGCACAGAUGUCCGCAGGGCAGGAGAACACUUUCUCCUUGUAGCCAUGUGGGGAGGCUGGGCACAAGGCACUGCUCAAGCUGAGGCUGGUACUCCUGCCACGGCCAGGGCACUGCUCCUGCAGAAGCUUGCUCUGCGUUGCUGUUGGCUGCCCUCAAUGUCCAAACAAAGGGUUAUAUUUAGAGAGAAGACUGAGCCAUAGCUUCCAACCCGUCCCUGAUUUUUAACGUGUCCUUUGUACGGGGGUGGGAGUUUAAGAGUAAUUCCUUCAGCAAGGAAUGCAAGGGAAGUACCGGGAAUACAUUUUUGCAUGAUUGGAAAAAGGAACAAAAAGCACAAGAGAAAAGAAAAAAAAAAUAAAGGACGCAAGAAGAUUUAGGAUGAGUUUCAAAAACAAGCUUUUAUACAGAAUCUUCUACUAUAAACUUGCUCAAGGCAUUUCCACACCGGAGGGCCGUGCUACCAUUCAACAAGACCCGGACAGACAGGAGAGCUGGGCAGGGAGGAACCUGAUGAUGUUUAACAAGAGCAAGUGUAGUUAUUUACUGCUAAGUGAUACUGCUUUUUUUUCUUCUAGAGCAACAACUCACUGCAGAACUUCACAGUACGCUGGAGAAUACAGAUGCUGUAACACUGCUGGGACUGGGAGCUGACUUCGCACAUUGACUGGUCCCUUGCAGCAUUAAAGUGAGCGAUGUGAAUGAAGCACGUUGGAAAUCUUUGCAACAUAGUGCAUUCCUUGUGCUGCACAGCACUGACAGUACUGAGAGGGAUGCUCCAUUGAACCAUCUUGGGGAAAAAAAUAGAUAGUAGUUUCCCUAUGACUAUAAAAUUGAGAAAGACAAGGAAGGUCUGACUCACAUCUUUCUCGUCUCUCAUAAUGGAGCAAUACAGCAGCCAAAUGAAAUGCUUACUGUAAGCUAAGCACUGAGCACCCCACCUCAGUACCUCCCUGUUCUUGGCCACCUGUUAUCAGGGCAUUGCAAAACAUCCAUUUGGUUGGGCAAUGCUGUAUUUGUAUUCUCACUUAUUUCACAUCUCCCUAUCAGGAAUGCACAACCUGUGCUCCCUCCAUUGGUAUUGUUUGCAUUCUUGUGCUCUUUCUGGCUCCCUCCUGAGCUGCAGGACAUUAGAUGCAGGCAGCUGGCUGGGUGCAGCUCUGAUGAUACAAGAGGCAGCAGGACAAACCUUGUUAAAAGUAUCUGAAACAAAUCCUCAGGGCAGUAGGGGUUAUUUUAGGGCACUUCAGAUGGCUGUAAGCUUUUGCUUUGUUCACUACUCAGCUUCAAGAACACCUGAGAUAAAUUACAGGACAUUUAGGUGGGAAGUAAGGAAGAACUUUUUUACAAUAAGGGCAGUGAGGCACUGGCACAGGCUGCCCAGAGAGGUGUGGGUGCCCCAUCCCUGCAGACAGCCAAGGUGAGGCUGGAUGGGCUCUGAGCACCUGAUGGAGCUGUGGGUGUCCCUGUUCUGUGCAGGGGGUUGGACCAGAUGGCCUUUAAGGGCCCCUUCCAACUUAAACCCUUCUAUGAAAUACUUGCUCAAGCACCUACCAAACUUCUGAGUUCCACGUGAAUAAAGGCACCAAAACACACACACUGAACACAGACAUCUCAGAGACAGACUUAUGUCACAAAUGACAAAAAGACCAAGAGCCCAUUUGGAAAAGCUCAGAAUACAGCUACCUAAGAAUGCCGUGCCACUCCCAGAAAGACUUCAUUUUGCCAAACAGGUAACUGAAUGCUUAGAGCUAGUUAAGACAAACAUUCAGUCUGGGGUGAAAACCUGACCUUCUCUUACUUGGAUGUAAAAAAUUACACUUGCCCUUGUACACAACCCUUGCUGCGCUGGGCUGCGUGCACAAUAGCGAGCAUUUAUGUCCUUGCCUUUGUUCUUCUCCAGAGGGUCAGGUAAGGAUGGAUCAUCAAAGCAGAACAGUGAUUUCCCACCAGAAGCCCGUGAUGAACACACAGCACAAACAGAGCAGCUGCCAGCCAGCAGCAGCAGGGAGGCAACCAAAGGGAGGCAGCUGCUGGAGAAGGGGAGUGCAGAGAAUCGGCUCAUGGAUAUUGUGUCUGCAUGCGGCAAAGAGAGGGUAAAAAAUAAAAGGAAAAGGGAGUAAAGACAUUCUGACACCUGCUUGUCCUAAAUAAAUCUCUGCAGGGUUCCCUCUGCUCUUUCUGAAGCUCUACAGCACUGUGAUGGAGUAAAGGUGCAAAACACCAGAGCGUGUGAGAGCACCUGAACUGCCUUCCAAGCCGACGCGAGUGGUGCUGCCACACAAACAAAGCCAGGCUCUGUUCUUCUGUUAUUUCCACUUUCAUGCCUUCCUGCUUGGGAAAGUGACCCAACCCAGAGCUGCCAGCUUGUGCUUGGCAAGGAGCUCCUCUGGGCAGCACCCCUGGCCUGCCCACGUGCAGGCUCUACAAGCAAGCUGCCGGUUUACGGGCAGCACCAACCCUCUCGCAGCAACCCGCUCCUCCAGCCGCACCCUGCAAAAAUGAGGUUGUUCCUGCAGAACUGCCUCUGCAGCAGGGCUCUUCCCAGCGGUGCUGCAGGGAAAGGAAAGCGUCUUGUCACGCCUGGAACACGGACACAGCUGAAGUCAAAGCAGGCAGAAAUAAAGCAAGCUAAAAAAAAAAGGCUUAAAGCUGUCUCUGUUUGGGACUUUUCUACUUUCCUCAAGAAAAACACCUGGCACCAACUUCACAGCCCAGCUAACUCCCAGUGAGUGCAGCACGGCCAGCUCUGCACCUAAAAUACCUUUCCAGCACCCUGGUGGGUGCCACCCCAACUCAGCAAAUAUCACGAGAAAUUUGCUCAGCUGCUGCAUGGGAAAAACAGCAGAUGCAGGGCUGGGAACGCUGCUCGAGAGGAACCACAGGGAUGUGCAGGGCACACUGCUGCAACUGCUCUGCUUACGAGAUACGGAAGAAACCUGCUCAGCUAAAUAAGGGAAUAAACCAUGCAAAUAAAGAAAUAAAACCACGGGCCAGCUGCAGACAAGCGGCGAGAGGGAGGCCUAGGCAUUAUUUCGGAGGUUGCCUGGUAACAGGCGGCUGCAGGGCUGGAGCUAUGCAGAACUACAGCGCUGCAUUGUGGCUCUGAAUCACAGGGAAGUGUCCUCCGAGGGGCAGCAGGGCAGAGCAAUGGCUGGUGUGGGGGCACCUGCUAAGGGCGAUCCCCCAGCAAAGGGAUCUCUAAUUGAAGUGGCAAAAGGCUGCGCCCUGCCUGCCCUGAUCAACUCCAAAGCACGCCCGCCUAGCCUGUAAUACCAUCCGGAAUAAAACGAUGUCCUUUACAGUCA
Molecule: long non-coding RNA, 6799 nt
Organism: Numida meleagris (helmeted guineafowl)
Lineage: Eukaryota; Metazoa; Chordata; Aves; Galliformes; Numididae
Exons: 2
Source: RefSeq, a predicted model, not a curated record